RNAcentral lists this long non-coding RNA (1655 nucleotides) under Homo sapiens (human). Its description in RNAcentral is "HSALNT0102530". Lineage: Eukaryota; Metazoa; Chordata; Mammalia; Primates; Hominidae. The record is from RNAcentral.
UAGAACUUGAAAAGCAUGCAUACUGUUGAAUUUGAGGUAACACAAGGAAAAUAUUUGCGAUCAGAAGGUCUUUGAAGCCUAUCUCCUGCCAUUCUUAGUGCUCUGGCUUCAGCUUUCUUAUGCCAAUGAAGGAAUAAAAUCACUCCAGGAGAAAUCAUUGACUUUACAAGAAAUGUGGUGAAUUGACUGCUGGGGAAAUGGGCUCAGGAGAUUAAAGGCCUGCUUAUUAAUGGAAAGAGCUUCCUCCCACACACAGAUAUAUAAAGCCGCCUCGCCAUUUCUUCCUUCCACCGUGACCCAUAGUCUUUCUGGGACAAGGGCUGAGAUUUCACAGCCGAGUUUUAAAGUUGCUGGGGAUGCUAACAACAGGGACUUUUAUGCUUGAAUUUCUGCUGCAAAUCAUACACCCUUGGACUCAGUCCACUAAGUCUAUAGAAUUAUCUGCAAAGCAAUGCAAUAGGAUAUACAAAUUUUUUGACUAUUUGUAUCGAAAAUAAAUCAGGACCUUGAACUAUAUAAAAAGCUAACACAUUAUCAUGAAAACUCUGCAUGAAUACUGAUAAAACAUACUGGAUGCCCUUUGACUCUUACAGUCCUUGUUCUCAUCUUUUUGCUUAUAUCCAUUUCUCUUUUCAAUUAAUUUGGAAUAAUUUUGCUUGAAUAAUAAUCUGAUAGUAACUUCAUUAUUUCUAAUUAUAUUAUCUUAAUGUGCAAAUUCAAUCAUUUUUGGCUUACAUUAACAAAGAUAAAAAUGUGUGACAGAGGUUAGUAAUAGAAGGUUAGUUUUACAUGAAAUGAGGACCAGAUAAAAGACCAGUACAAUGUUAUAUAUUUAUGUCCUUCACAUGAUAGGCAGACAUCAAUCCUUGAUGUCAUGUUCAAAUAAAGGACUUAUAUAUAUGCAUAGUGACAAAGCACUAUGCAUAUGUAUAUGCAUGGGAACAAUGGAGAGAAGUUCAGUGAGAGAAUUCCCAAUUGUAUUAAUUACUACAAACAUUUAUUGAAUAAAAUGUGCAGCACUUAUAGAACAUUUUUCCUAUGGGAUAAGUUGCCAAUCCAUACUUCAUUGUUGUUGCUGUAUCAGCUCAGACUCUUUGAAGUUAGUCUUAUUUAUUCACUUUUUUAGCGGAUCUACAGGGGUUAUGUAAGUUGGCUAAACUCACUCAACUAGUAAGACAUAUACAAAGGAUGUAAACUACGUUUAUGAGGUAAGAAAGACUAUGAUUUUGCUUUUAUUACUGCGACUAGGACCCUCUGGGGAUACAAAAGCUAUGAUAAAAAAAAUUCAUUAGCCUGUGUGUCUAAUAUGGCCCUCAAAGUAGUAUUAUCAUUUGCAAUUAACUAUAACACUGAAUCGUAUUCUUCAAAUGCAAACCAUGGGCCUUGCAGAGCCUUUAUAGAUGCUCUGUGGCACAGCACUUAUUUAGUCUGUCUCUUUAAUUAACCUGAUCCAAAUGUGACAUUAAUAAAUUGUUCUUUGUGAACCGAAAAGUCGUAAUUACUCAGAAAGGACAUGCUUAAUUGUCCUUUAUCUUUAGCCUACCACUAUACACAUCCAACAAAUCAGGUCAAAAUUCUCAAUUCAAUUUCCAAAUAAUUCAUAAUAUUUUUAUUUACUAUAGCAUAACCUGGUCAGGCAUGGUGGCUCAGGCCUG